ACCUUAAUUAGUCUAUGUUAAGUAUACUUAUAGUCAACGGCAAAUUCUGUAUUACGAUCCGAUAAUUCUAGAACUAUUUGCAUAACAAUACUCUGUACCGUGUGAAAGUAGAAGCCAACCCUCUUAUAAAAUCGUGUGAUUAUCGUCUACAAUAAUUCAAUUUCAGUUACGAUUACACAAGUUCCCACCGAGCAGGGUUUCUCCCCUAAAGUACAGGUAACAGAUAGAAGGUAAGACGUUCGAGGGGACGAAAUCAAAGCGUACAAAGAACAGGGAACCAUUGUGUGCGCUUACGCAAGGAGUCCACGUGCGCGCGCGCUCCCACGGUCAAAUGGGGAGGGAUUUCGGGAAUCAAAUAAAAGGGACAGAAUCCUGGUCGUAGCAUCAAACUCAAACAGUAAGCGCUACAGUGCACAGCUCCGGGGGACCGCACCACUGCGCCCCCGGUGGUGCCAGAUUUCUUUACUAACUUCAGUUUGAAUUAAGAGUUCAAAAAUAACUUGUGCUAAUUUACUAUUAAGUAAACUAUAAAAUUGUGAACAAUGAGAAAAUCUUCACGACUGAAGCCGAGACUUGUCCUACGGAUAUUUAAAAUAAUGAGAACACAGAGUAAUGUGUAAACAGAAUGAGGAAGGAAAAGUUUCAAAUUAUCAACAUUACCAAAUUCCAAUAUUAACAAAGCUGGAUAAUUAUGGGAACUUAAUAGCCUGACAGGUUACCAGUGAACAGUACCAAUGAUCACUAUGGCAACUCAACAGCCUGACAGCUUACCACCCAGCAGUAUCAACGAUGGAAAUCAAAGCAAACAAACCAAAGGAGACCACUUGAGGUGAAUGCAAACCAUCAUUUCUAGACUCCCCAAAGAUAGGAUAGGCGUACUUAGAACUUAAGAUUUUCGUGUGACUUAGGGAAUUAAGUUAAUACCUCUAUGGUAAAACCUUAAUUAAUGUACAUAAAAUUUCAUUUAGUUUAACCUCCAAUGAAGCCUUAUUCACUAUGUUAGUUAAAAAUAGGUUUUAGAUAAGUACUUGGAUCAAAUUUUAAGAGCAUCGUAGUUCAUAAUUUGAACUAAAAGUGCCUUAAUGAUCGGUGUUGUUGUCAAAACUUAGUUACGUUUCAUGUUUUGUUUGCACCAGUUCCAAUUGUUCAUGUUUUGGACAUGUUUUUGCUAUUGUUACAUCUGUUGUAUUUUACUAAAGUAGUUGUUUUCUGUUAAUUUUGGCUCCAGAUUAAAAUUCAGUAUUUGCGAUGUACAGUACAUGCAGCUGUUAUUUUCAGUUAUAAUUGCAACAUGUGUGUACAUACUUGGUAAUUAACAUUAAACUACUGUAUUUUAUCUAGGCUAACUCAGAUAAUUAGGUCUUACAAAAGUUCUAAAGUUACCUUUCGUUAACCAAUCAUAACACAAUGGUAUCGCACACCAAGAACUUGUGUUCAAUGUUUUUGUUAAAAUUGUUGAAUUUUUGUUUUAAUUUACGGAAACCAGCUGGACUGGGAGCGUAAUCAUUUGUUAACGUACCUUAUUUCAGUAUGUCAAGUUAAGUUUAUGUUUCAAAAUCUGUUGAUUUUUUGUUUUUCAAUAGAAAGUCCAAACCACUUUCGUUAACACCAAAAGUUAAUCAAUCAUUAUGUUUUUUUUUGUUUUGUUGAAACGUACUCACAAACCGUUACAUGUUUUGUUGCUGUUCAAGUUUGCUCCGAGUUGGCCGUUAAUUUGUUGUUUUUUUUUUGUUAACACCUCCGGAACUUCUCGUUUUGAAUUUGUUGAUUUAAAGUUACCUUUAGUUUUUGUUGAUCAGUAUCAUUUUCAGUUUUGAUAAAGUCGCAUUAACACCUAAUUUUUCAUUCGUUCACCAAAACCGUUCAAGUUUUUUGUUAUUUGAUACUAGAUGCUUCUUAACCGUUGAUUUGACUGUUAUUUUGGUUUAAGUUUAUCUUUGUGCUGUAUUAUUAUCUUGUUCAUUUCAGUUUCAAAUCCUUUGAAAUCACAAUUGUCCAAACGCGCUCUUAGAUAUUUCUGAUUAAAUAAAACAAAACAAAAUUUUGAACUCAAGCGAUUAGAGUAUUUUGUUUUGUUUUAAUAAAAUACUAAAAUAGAAAUCCACAAUUCGGUAACUCACGAAAUAGACCAAUUAGUAUUCUUUCAAUAAGAGCCUGGAGUAUUUUCAGCGUUUAUUUCAUCUACCACCGAAGUUGUUACAGCAUUGUUAAGUUUUUGUUUAAUCGUUUGACUAAGUAGUUGAUUUCACUGUUUUCAAUUGUUUUGUUUUGAUUUUCAAGCCUCGUAGAUUCAUAAAACAGAACCAAAAGUACUGUUUGCAAAUUCCUUGUAAGUUCCCUUCCCUUUUAUCUUUCAACACGCCUUACUCGCACUCAUAAGACGAAAUCCUCCCUCAUAAACUUUCCUUUUAUGUUAACAAUUCAAUAACUUCCUUCAUCACCUCAUCUAUUGUUUUUAUUAAGUUUUGUUUAUGCCUGAAGUUACUGCCUCGUUGAUUUGACUGUUGAAUUCAAGUUAAGUUUUUGUUUUGUUGCUAGCUGCCAACUCAAACACAUGAUUUCGUGUAUUGUUUUAAUUUUCUUGACAUACUUGUGAAAUACCAAUUUGUACUUCUAUGUAAUUUAAAAGCUUAGUACGUUUGAACAAAAAAUACUUUUCCCAUUAUUAAAAAAAAUACAGAUUCACAUAGUACUGUUCACUUCAGUAUCUAAUACAGUGAAUACUUUCUAUACUCUCAGUAUGGUUAUCCUAAUUCAGACACACUGUUAUCCAUUCUUGUAAUAUAGUUUGUUGAGUUUUUGUUUAUGGCUAGGUUACGUUAUCCACCCAAAUUGUUGAUUUGACUGUUAAAUAAAAUUUAAGUUUUUGUUUUGUUCUUAAAUUUUCCUUCAACCCAAAAUUCUGAUAUUAAUUCAUACGUUGUCCUUUUGAAAUAUUCAGCCUUUCUCAUUUUUUAAAUUCCUUAACGAAAAUUUUAAUUUCCUUUCCGACAGUUUUCUUCAGUUUCUUCAUUUUGUUAAGUUUUGUUUUAUAUUUCUUGAAACAAUCACGCCGUGCCUUAAUAACCUUAUGUGCCUGAAAUUGUUUCAUAUGUGUUCUUUGCCUCCAAAUAGGGUUUUGACCGUCGUCAUAAUCCUAUUUAGAUGCAUUUUGACCAUGCAUUGUGGCUAUUUAUGAGCAUCUACAUUUUCUAUUGAAUGUCUAAGUAUUAUUACAUUAAUAAUAUUAAUUAAGACUUCAAUAUCACGAAUUGUAAUAUGUUUCAAUAAAUGCUAUAAUCAUGGUCCAUUUUCUAUGUGUUAGUGUUACUAGCCUGAUGACCGUUUUGUCCCCUCGAUAACGUUUUGUUAUGGUAAAAGCAUCAUUACCUGCACACACAAUAUUGUUAAUUUGAGCGUCUAGUUACCCAGCAGCGAUGUAAAUUGCAUUGUUAAGCUUAUAAUGAAAUUUAAACCUAUCAACCAAUAGCUCCAAAAGUGAUUGAGAAUAAAGGACAUAACUGGGGAUAAAAUUGUCAUUACGCACCUAUUGUUUUUACCAUUUGGUAUAAUUUUGUUGAACAAUUAAUAUUGUUAAUGUUACAUAGUUGUAAGCGUUGAAUUGUUGUUAAGUUUGAAUUGUGAUAUUAUUGUUAAUUUAUUGAUCAUGGCUGUGUUUGUUAAUUUUAUGUUAAGUUUUCGUUUUAACGAUUAUUGUUCAUUGUUCUUUGCCGACAUUAAGGCCACCGAAUAACACCAAACUUACUGUAGUGUAACAUUGUAGUAUAUGUUUGUAUUUAAGAUCUUAGAUGUUUGUAUUAAGAGAAUCUUAGUAACUGUAUUAUGAAACUGGUAUGUUAAACCAAAGCUUUGUAUAAAAUUAACAAAUAGGUUAGUUAGGGUAACUAUUUAUUAGAGAUGUAUGACAGUGCGUGUGUUUGUGUGAAUUAAAUACAAAAACAACUA
Helicoverpa zea (corn earworm) is the source of this 3945-nucleotide long non-coding RNA. RefSeq lists it as uncharacterized. The transcript is spliced from 2 exons. The record is from RefSeq and is a predicted model, not a curated record. NCBI's taxonomy places the organism in Eukaryota, Metazoa, Arthropoda, Insecta, Lepidoptera, Noctuidae.